GCAAUAUUCCACUUUCUAUCAUGUUAGCUACAUUUUAAGUACUUAACAGCCACGUGUGACUAGUGGCUACCAUAUUGGAUAGCACAGAUAAAGAAGAGUUCCAUCACUGCAGAAAAUUCUACUGGACAGUGUUGCUUUGGAGCAAUGGGGGAAGAUUAGAUUUGGACGUUAAUUUGGAAUUAAGGGUUCAAUUCUUAGUUCUCUUUUUUUCUAGCCUUGGGGAAUUGUGCCAUUUGGUUGUCCUUCAUGAUCCUGAAUCUCAAGCACACCUGUGUGUGUAGACACACACCUACAUACCCUGAUACUCAAACAAGGCUGACGAAGAUAGUGAUUAUAAUAAACUGCAUGAGCCCCAAGGAAAAACCAAGCCACAAGCCCAGCUCUGCUGACCUGAUCUCUCACCGCCUGUCAGUCAUCUCCAACAAGUGACUGAGGACAAACACCACCAGAAUCUCAUUCUCGAUGUAUACGCAUCUUAAGAGUGCUGUAGCACGGACAACCAAACUUUUGGUAAUCCACAUGCCAAACUGAAUUUAAAAUUCCUGGAUUUAUUGUAAGACAGAAAAGCCAAAAAAAAAAUCACAAACGAGAAUUUUGGAUUUCAAGGAAAUGUUCGAUUGUAGAGGAGAGGCACAUGGCAGAAGAGGAGAGGGCUAUGUGAAGAUAGAGGCAAAGGUUGAAGUGAUGCUGCCACAAGCCAAGGAACACCAGGAGCCACCAGAAGCUGGAAAAGGCAAAGAAGGAAUCUUCCCUAGAAUCUUCAGAGGAAGUGUGGGCCUGACAACACCUUGAUUUUGGACUUCUGGCCUUCGGUACUGUCAAAGAAUAAAUCCUUUUGUUUUGAGUCACCAAG
RNAcentral lists this long non-coding RNA (853 nucleotides) under Homo sapiens (human). RNAcentral describes it as "HSALNT0051638". The record is from RNAcentral. Lineage: Eukaryota; Metazoa; Chordata; Mammalia; Primates; Hominidae.